GUAGGGUGCGAGCGUUAAUCGGAAUUACUGGGCGUAAAGCGUGCGCAGGCGGUUUGCUAAGACCGAUGUGAAAUCCCCGGGCUCAACCUGGGAACUGCAUUGGUGACUGGCAGGCUAGAGUAUGGCAGAGGGGGGUAGAAUUCCACGUGUAGCAGUGAAAUGCGUAGAGAUGUGNAGGAAUACCGAUGGCGAAGGCANCCCCCUGGGCCAAUACUGACGCUCAUGCACGAAAGCGUGGGGAGCAAACAGGAUUAGAUACCCUGGUAGUCCACGCCCUAAACGAUGUCAACUAGUUGUUGGGGAUUCAUUUCCUUAAUAACGUANCUUACGCGUGAAGUUNACCGCCUGGGGAGU
Molecule: ribosomal RNA, 354 nt
Filed under: uncultured bacterium
Lineage: Bacteria
Description: bacterial SSU rRNA
Rfam family: Bacterial small subunit ribosomal RNA
Source: RNAcentral